GUGCUUGCCAGUUAAACAAUUCCAGGUUAUGGGAUUGGAUCUCCAUUUUCCAAGAUUCUUAGCUGAUAAGUAUAUUAUGCGGGAAAAUCUCUACGUACUGAUGUUGUGCACAUCCAAAUACAAGCAAUCGAGGAAGAUUUCAUCCUCAACCUCCCUCACGACCCCAGGUUGGGGACAUGGCGAGAAGAUAUGGUUUUGUGAUCUAUGGUCUUGAGUCAUCUGUUGGAUGGGUGAUAAUGGAAAUUUUCUUGACGGCAAACACGUGCAUAAAUU
Molecule: long non-coding RNA, 273 nt
Organism: Triticum aestivum (bread wheat)
Lineage: Eukaryota; Viridiplantae; Streptophyta; Magnoliopsida; Poales; Poaceae
Exons: 4
Source: RefSeq, a predicted model, not a curated record